GGUACCUCACGAAUAAGCCCCGGCUAAUUCCGUGCCAGCAGCCGCGGUAAUACGUAGGGACCAAGCGUUGUCCGGAUUUAUUGGGUUUAAAGGGAGCGCAGGCCGCCGAUUAAGCGUGACGUGAAAUGUCCCGGCUCAACCUGGGAGUUGCGUCGCGAACUGGUUGGCUAGAGUGCGCACGAGGUAUGCGGAAUUCGUGGUGUAGCGGUGAAAUGCUUAGAUAUCACGAAGAACCCCGAUUGCGAAGGCAGCCGACGAGUCCUCAACUGACGCUCAAGCUCGAAAGUGCGGGUAUCGAACAGGAUUAGAUACCCUGGUAGUCCGCACGGUAAACGAUGGAUGCCCCGCUGUCGUUGAUACGCAGUAGGGGGCCAGGAGAAGUCUUUAAGCUUCCGCACUUGGGGGGUAGGCGGGCAACGGGGAAACUCAAAGGAAUUGCGGGGGGCCCGCACAAGCGGAGGAACAUGGGGUUAAUUUCGAUGAUACGGGAGGGACCUUUACCCGGGCUGAAAUUGCAGGGAUAGGACACAGAGAUGUUGAGGCCCUUCGGGGCGCCUGUGGAGGUGCUGCAUGGUUGUCGUCAGCUCGUGCCGUGAGGUGUCGGCUUAAGUGCCAUAACGAGCGCAACCCUUUUCUUCAGUUGCCAUCAGGUUAUGCUGGGCACUCUGGAGACACUGCCACCGUAAGGUGUGAGGAAGGUGGGGAUGACGUCAAAUCAGCACGGCCCUUACGUCCGGGGCUACACACGUGUUACAAUGGGUGGUACAGAGAGUCGGUGUAUCGCAAGGUACAUCCAAUCAUGAAAUCCAUCCUCAGUUCGGAUGGGGGUCUGCAACCCGACCCCAUGAAGCUGGAUUCGCUAGUAAUCGCGCAUCAGCCAUGGCGCGGUGAAUACGUUCCCGGGCCUUGCACACACCGCCCGUCAAG
Molecule: ribosomal RNA, 927 nt
Filed under: uncultured bacterium
Lineage: Bacteria
Description: bacterial SSU rRNA
Rfam family: Bacterial small subunit ribosomal RNA
Source: RNAcentral